CAGGAGUCCCGAGUAUUACCACACCACGAACUUUCAAGAUGGCGGCAACCUUGUUCAGAGGCUUUCGGCACUUCGGAAGACUGGUGCAAAUAAAGCCGUGUACCAACAAUGUUACUUCGAAAACGAGCAUACGAAGCUUAGUAUAUAUACGUGGGAUUACAAGUAUAGACAAAUCUAGUGUCUUACAUGCAAGGGGCCAGGACGAUUCUUAUCACAAGAGAAAUGUGCAUGUUGGAGGCCAUGCGUACGCGAUCAAGGCAUCGGAACUCUCCAAAGAUAAUGCUAUUGUAAAAGAUUCAGUCGGAUGCCCUAUUUGUAGCAGAAAUAUUAUUUUCUCUUAUAAGGAUGUGCUGUUUCUCUCUCAGUUCCUGUCUCCUGAAGGGAACUUACUAAACAGAAGGCAGACAGGUGUGUGUAAGAAACAGCAGCUGAAAUUAGAAAAUGCAAUCAAACUCUCAAGGAGACUUGUUACAGCUUGAUUCAGCAAUUCACACGUUAGACCAGCGGUGCAGACACUUGACUCGGACCGCAGCGACCCAGAUAUGCAGCAACAAUUAGCCUUUGGGGAAGUCCAGAGUUGUUUUGUUUACUGUUAAAAGGAAAAUAAGUAAUAUAGUGUUUACAUACAUGUUUUUGAGUAGUUUGCGCAUUUGAUAGGUUCUGUGCCGCCUGCCUGGCAAAAAAGCUGCAACAGCAGCCAUUUUGUUUGUGAUUAGAUGCUGUGUGCUUUUUCUUUACAGGUAUGUUUACGGGACCUCAAGAUCUCACGUAAAGUAGAGGCAAUUUAUCGGGAAAGUUUAUGUGCCUGUAAAUUAUUGGGAGUUUUGAGAAACACCAUUUAUAUAUCGGGAAGUCUUAACUGGUUGGUUUAGGGGCCUGAUUAGUUACAGGGAGUUUUAAGAAACGGGCCCCUUGCCCAAUUCAUUCAAAUCUAUGGCAAAAUGUCUAAACUCUCUUCUUGGGUUGCAAGGGAAAUAGUUAUAUAGCCCUAUUCAUAUCUUUUUAUGCAUUGUUAGUGCCCAGAAUAAGCUCGAGGCCCAUAAAACAGUACAGUGUUUAUUUCUAUGGGAUGCUACCUGCUGAGAUAGGAAUUUUUUGACAGUGUGAGUCAUUUUUUUAUUGAAUCAAACCCAACUUCAGCGAAAAGCUAGAUCGGCUUCUGUUCCCAACCACCCUUUGCUGGGUGUGGUCACACUUCUGCAUGGAUGUUACUAGUUUAAAGUAGAAAUCAUAAUUGAAUGAUGGACUUCACAGGUUUUGUCAUAUGCAUGUAUAUUCAAUAGUACAAUUGAAUGAUAGACUUCACAGGUGUUGUCAUGCAUGGAUAUUUAAUAGUAUAAUUGAGUUGUGGACUUCACUUUCAGGACUUCUACCUAAGUGUGGUCCAAUAAAAGAUGACCAACAAGCUAUUGA
Nematostella vectensis (starlet sea anemone) is the source of this 1413-nucleotide RNA transcript. It is a transcript of the gene named 30S ribosomal protein S18, with no coding region annotated. The record is from RefSeq and is a predicted model, not a curated record. The transcript is spliced from 6 exons. NCBI's taxonomy places the organism in Eukaryota, Metazoa, Cnidaria, Anthozoa, Actiniaria, Edwardsiidae.